ACUCCUACGGGAGGCAGCAGUGAGGAAUAUUGGUCAAUGGGCGAAAGCCUGAACCAGCCAUGUCGCGUGCAGGACGACUGCCCUAUGGGGUUGUAAACUGCUUUUAUAUGGGAAGAAAUGCGAGUACGUGUACUUGUUUGCCGGUACCAUAUGAAUAAGCAUCGGCUAACUCCGUGCCAGCAGCCGCGGUAAUACGGAGGAUGCGAGCGUUAUCCGGAUUCAUUGGGUUUAAAGGGUGCGUAGGCGGAAGUGUAAGUCAGGGGUGAAAGUUUGCAGCUCAACUGUAAAAUUGCCUUUGAUACUGCAUUUCUUGAGUACAUUUGAGGUAGGCGGAAUGUGUUGUGUAGCGGUGAAAUGCUUAGAUAUAACACAGAACACCGAUUGCGAAGGCAGCUUACUAAACUGUAACUGACGCUGAUGCACGAAAGCGUGGGAUCGAACAGGAUUAGAUACCCCUGGUAGCGACUGA
RNAcentral lists this ribosomal RNA (469 nucleotides) under uncultured bacterium. RNAcentral describes it as "bacterial SSU rRNA". It matches the Rfam family "Bacterial small subunit ribosomal RNA", at positions 335 to 798 of the family's 1533-position model. The record is from RNAcentral.